GACGAACGCUGGCGGCGUGCCUAAUACAUGCAAGUUGAGCGCUGAAGGUUGGUACCUGUACCAACUGGAUGAGCAGCGAACGGGUGAGUAACGCGUGGGGAAUCUGCCUUUGAGCGGGGGACAACAUUUGGAAACGAAUGCUAAUACCGCAUAAAAACUUUAAACACAAGUUUUAAGUUUGAAAGAUGCAAUUGCAUCACUCAAAGAUGAUCCCGCGUUGUAUUAGCUAGUUGGUGAGGUAAAGGCUCACCAAGGCGAUGAUACAUAGCCGACCUGAGAGGGUGAUCGGCCACAUUGGGACUGAGACACGGCCCAAACUCCUACGGGAGGCAGCAGUAGGGAAUCUUCGGCAAUGGACGAAAGUCUGACCGAGCAACGCCGCGUGAGUGAAGAAGGUUUUCGGAUCGUAAAACUCUGUUGGUAGAGAAGAACGUUGGUGAGAGUGGAAAGCUCAUCAAGUGACGGUAACUACCCAGAAAGGGACGGCUCACUACGUG
Molecule: ribosomal RNA, 497 nt
Filed under: uncultured bacterium
Lineage: Bacteria
Description: partial 16S ribosomal RNA
Rfam family: Bacterial small subunit ribosomal RNA
Source: RNAcentral